UCCCGGAAGGCCUCGGGGCAGAGCGGUCCCACCCACUGCGCGCUGAACAGAGCCCGCGUUUCCGCAGAGCUGGAACUCCCGGCUCGGGGUCUCUUCCCUCCUCCGUCACGGAACUGCCCCGGAGCCCGAGGGGAGGGCGGCCUCACUGAGGCUGCCGGCUCUGGAGGGGCCCCGGCGGCCGAAGCCGUGAUAGUCGAGGGGACGGCGGGCCGGGACCCCUGAUUAAUCAGGAAGGUUCCCUGACCUCUGGUGGUGAAAGUGAUGAUGAAAGCAACCAAGGAAGCCCAGCAGAAGCCUAUCACGGGGCUGGGGCUCCCUCUGGAGGAAGCCAGCCAUCAUGUAGUGAGGACAUUCAAUCAAGUAGCAGGUGGACAGACAGGCCCAUGCAGGGAGGAAAUGAGGCCUCCCACUAACAACCAGCACCACCCUGACAGCCAGGAACCUGGAGCUACCUGGAAUCCUGGUCCACACUUUGGGAAGCCCAGCAGUACAAGGAUCUCUACCCCUGGUUUCUCGUCAGCUCCCUGUCUUUGUGACCACCUCUCUUAUUGAAAUCAGACCCCCACUCAUUACAGAGUUUGAGCGGGCAUGGGGACUUUCCACUCUUGUGACCUAAUAGUGUAACCAAAGUGCCUAGUACUGUACCUGGUCCAUAGCAGGUGCUCAAUAAACAGCAGCUGCCUCCUUCUCCUCAUUAUUAUCAUUGUUAUCAACUCUUUGGUGGCAAACACAGCUUAGACGUCUCUGCAUCCCUGUUGGAGUCUAACAGUUCUGGGCUCCAACCUUAACUCACACUUUUGGACGUGGGGCCUUGGGCCAUUGAGCAGGUUACCUACAUUCUUUAAACCCUGUUUCCUAUCUGUCAAACGAGGCUAACAAGAUAUGCUUCCACGGACUGUUGGGCUAAAUAAGACCAUAAGAUGCCUAACCCAGGGCUGGUCACCAAGCAAGCAAGUGGUAAAUGUUAGCUGCUGCUGCUUCCUAUUGUUAGUAGUAUUAGUCAUGCGCCUUAAACACAGUAAAUACUUGUUGGCUCACUGAAGUCACCGCCCAGAGAAAAACAGUUGUUUUUCAUUCUCAGUAAGAACCUUUGGGAGGUGACUUGGGCAGGCACUGAGAGAACAGAUGUCUCUCAUGCAGCAUCAGCAAACUCAUAAAUCAGAAGAACUGAUGGGCCGUUCACUUUGCUUGGAACCCCACCCAACGGGCAGAACCUGCUGGGCUAUCUCCCAGGCCCACUGAUCCUCUGGGGGACCGUGUGCUAUCACCCCAUGGCUUGCACAGUCCUUCACCUCAUAUUACUAAACCACCAGCACUAUCUGUGGUCAUUUUGGUAGAUUAUCAGAUCUUGUUCAUUCAGAAUUUCUUUUACUCAU
Balaenoptera ricei (Rice's whale) is the source of this 1376-nucleotide long non-coding RNA. RefSeq lists it as uncharacterized. The record is from RefSeq and is a predicted model, not a curated record. Lineage: Eukaryota; Metazoa; Chordata; Mammalia; Artiodactyla; Balaenopteridae. The transcript has 4 exons.